CCCUUAGAUGUUCUGGGCCGCACGCGCGCUACACUGAUGAAUGCAACGAGCUCUACCCUUGACCGAAAGGCCCGGGUAAACUUGUGAAACUUCAUCGUGAUGGGGAUAGAUUAUUGCAAUUAUUAAUCUUCAACGAGGAAUUCCUAGUAAGCGCGAGUCAUCAGCUCGCGUUGAUUACGUCCCUGCCCUUUGUACACACCGCCCGUCGCCCCUACCGAUUGAAUGGUCCGGUGAAAUCUUCGGAUUGCUGACCAAGAUCCAGCAAUGGAGCUUGGUUGCGAGAAGUUGAUUAAACCUUAUUAUUUAGAGGAAGGAGAAGUCGUAACA
This 327-nucleotide ribosomal RNA is filed under the name uncultured eukaryote. RNAcentral describes it as "partial 18S ribosomal RNA". It matches the Rfam family "Eukaryotic small subunit ribosomal RNA", at positions 1470 to 1796 of the family's 1831-position model. The record is from RNAcentral.